GGUAGGAUGGCCGAAUGUUUAGGCGGUGGGCUGUAGACCUGCUUACAGAGAUUUGAUUUCUCUUCCUGUCA
RNAcentral lists this transfer RNA (71 nucleotides) under Lampetra aepyptera (least brook lamprey). RNAcentral describes it as "tRNA-Tyr". It matches the Rfam family "tRNA". From Rfam's summary of the family: Transfer RNA (tRNA) molecules are approximately 80 nucleotides in length. Their secondary structure includes four short double-helical elements and three loops (D, anti-codon, and T loops). The record is from RNAcentral. Lineage: Eukaryota; Metazoa; Chordata; Hyperoartia; Petromyzontiformes; Petromyzontidae.